Molecule: ribosomal RNA, 553 nt
Filed under: Staphylococcus sp.
Lineage: Bacteria; Bacillati; Bacillota; Bacilli; Caryophanales; Staphylococcaceae
Description: bacterial SSU rRNA
Rfam family: Bacterial small subunit ribosomal RNA
Source: RNAcentral
CAAGCCUGACGGAGCAACGCCGCGUGAGUGAUGAAGGGUUUCGGCUCGUAAAACUCUGUUAUUAGGGAAGAACAAAUGUGUAAGUAACUGUGCACAUCUUGACGGUACCUAAUCAGAAAGCCACGGCUAACUACGUGCCAGCAGCCGCGGUAAUACGUAGGUGGCAAGCGUUAUCCGGAAUUAUUGGGCGUAAAGCGCGCGUAGGCGGUUUCUUAAGUCUGAUGUGAAAGCCCACGGCUCAACCGUGGAGGGUCAUUGGAAACUGGGAAACUUGAGUGCAGAAGAGGAAAGUGGAAUUCCAUGUGUAGCGGUGAAAUGCGCAGAGAUAUGGAGGAACACCAGUGGCGAAGGCGACUUUCUGGUCUGUAACUGACGCUGAUGUGCGAAAGCGUGGGGAUCAAACAGGAUUAGAUACCCUGGUAGUCCACGCCGUAAACGAUGAGUGCUAAGUGUUAGGGGGUUUCCGCCCCUUAGUGCUGCAGCUAACGCAUUAAGCACUCCGCCUGGGGAGUACGACCGCAAGGUUGAAACUCAAAGGAAUUGACGGGGCCCG